RNAcentral lists this long non-coding RNA (1376 nucleotides) under Gouania willdenowi (blunt-snouted clingfish). Its description in RNAcentral is "lncRNA (ENSGWIG00000025082.1)". Lineage: Eukaryota; Metazoa; Chordata; Actinopteri; Blenniiformes; Gobiesocidae. The record is from RNAcentral.
UUCUUUAAAUUACAAAAUAAAUACCAGUAUUUGAACUGGUUCCUUGGCUUAGAUUAGCUCUGAUUCUUCUUUUUCUUUCUCCCCAGACUCUUUAAGUGGAUUAGAGCUUGUCCUACUCCUCUCUGUUACAAAAUGAAAUCCUUAUCCCUCCCUCCUGCUGGCUGCAGACCAUCACUCCUCCUCUUCCUCCUCCUCCUCUUCCUCAGGUGUGUUUGCCUCCAUCAGAGUCAGUCACCUCCACCUCUCUGCCUCUUUAAGAUCAUCAUCAUCAUCGUUUUCUGAUCAAGGAUUUUCUUUAAAACUUUAAACUGACAUGAAGACUUCAUUAUUCUUCAUCACUGUGGGCUGUGAGAUCAUCAUCACCAUCUCAGAGAGCCGUGGAAGGACGUCCCGUGGUGUGUUUGGGUCUCCACCCACAGCUGUUCAGUCUCCCAGGCCUUCAGUAACUUUGAGCUGUACAACAUGGUUCGCCUAGGGGUCCACCCGGACACGACCUCUACUGUCUGGAUGAAACCGGUCAAGUUUGACUACAGUGACUUCAGUCAGUCCCAGUUUAACCAGUGAUUUUAAACCAGUUAGACACAAACACACUGUAAAACUGCGUGUGCGUGCGUGUGUGUGUGUGUGCAGCCUUCAGCCCUCCAUCCAUCUCAGUGUCUCUAAGAGAAGAGCGGCUGGUGGUGCAGGUGCACUUUCCCUGUGCUGCCAACAGGAGGUGCUCUACAAAGCUGUGCUGUCCCAUCUCUCAGCUAAUUGAUCCUUGGACAACAGUCACCAUGAACAGUGACGUCAACAUGACAUCACAGCAGAGUCGAACAGUGUGGACACACGACGUCGUCUCAUACGUAGAGUUUUCGGGUUUGUCUCCGGGUCAGAAUUACUGCGUCGUGGCCAAUUUCUCCUUCCCGACCUUCUCCAUGGCCGCCUCCCCCAAGUCUGACCCCCAGUGCAUCAGGACCACCGACGCCAACCAAUCAGAGCUUCAGUCUCAACUCUUGUUGGGAAUAGGUUCUACGUUCCUGUUCCUGUUCCUGUUCCUGUUUCUCGUUGUUUUUCUGCUCAAACAGAGAUCAAAGACGACCAAGAGCCGCUCGGUUUGUUUCCAUCUUUACUCAUCGUUUAAUCAUCAUCAUCACCAUAAUCAUCAUCACCAUCAUCAUUAACAGUCCACGUUUCUUUCAGGCUCCCGUCCCAGUCCCACUCCCUCCAUCACUGGUUCCAGUUCCAGUCGACCCUGAGGACGUUCACCUGGAACUCACUGAGGACGACCAUCAGAUUACAGUUCUCCUGUUCUAGAAGAACCUUGGAUGACACGAGGUCAACAAACACAGAGACACACCAUGAGGACUGGGAGAGUCUCAGUGCUCUGGGAUGGG